UACGUAGGGUGCAAGCGUUAAUCGGAAUUACUGGGCGGAAAGCGUGCGCAGGCGGUUGUGCACGACACGUGUGAAAUCCCCGGGCUUAACAUGGGAAUCGCAUGUGUGACUGCACGGCUAGAGUGUGACAGAGGGGGGUAGAAUUCCACGUGUAGCAGUGAAAUGCGUAGAUAUGUGGAGGAAUACCGAUGGCGAAGGCAGCCCCCUGGGAUAACACUAACGCUCAUGCACGAAAGCGUGGGGAGCAAACAGG
This 253-nucleotide unclassified non-coding RNA is filed under the name uncultured Gammaproteobacteria bacterium. RNAcentral's name for it is "contains 16S-23S intergenic spacer region". It matches the Rfam family "Bacterial small subunit ribosomal RNA", at positions 524 to 776 of the family's 1533-position model. Lineage: Bacteria; Pseudomonadati; Pseudomonadota; Gammaproteobacteria. The record is from RNAcentral.